UUGGCCAUCGUCGCCGGCGAGGCGCUGACUUUGUCGCACGUCGUCUUCUACGUGCUGCGCAUCGACAUGGUCGCCACCAUGCCAAGAAGCGCAGCAAGAAGGACGCCCGGGCCACACUUGACCCUGAGCGCGUCCGCCGGACCGGUGGUGAUCCUGGCGCUGGUCCCAGCAACGCUGCGGCACCUGCUGCACCGCCGCAGCAACCGCCAGCGCCACGCCAAGACCGAUGGGUGUGUCCUCCAUCGCCUUCGCCGGAGCGGGUUGCAGAGCGGCUGCGUGAGUCCGAGACCCAGCAGCCGCUCCAUCCGAUGCGGUACUGCCCCCUCCAUGGAUGGGGGCCGUGUCCUGCUCGCCAACCGCGGGCUCCUCCAACGGAUGCAGACACCGCCGCCCCCACUGUUCGAUCGAGCGGACUGCUCGUUCAAGUCACCUCUCCAGCGCGCUCUCGUGCCCGAACACGGCUGA
Molecule: unclassified non-coding RNA, 465 nt
Filed under: Zea mays
Lineage: Eukaryota; Viridiplantae; Streptophyta; Magnoliopsida; Poales; Poaceae
Description: misc RNA Zm00001eb379450
Source: RNAcentral